UUAAUUCAAAUUUCUAUGGAGAUGAAACAACUACACUACGUUUGCCGCUAGGGGGCGCUGCUACAGCUCCAUACAAAUUUGAGUUA
Molecule: microRNA precursor, 86 nt
Filed under: Bombyx mori (domestic silkworm)
Lineage: Eukaryota; Metazoa; Arthropoda; Insecta; Lepidoptera; Bombycidae
Description: mir-2807 microRNA precursor family
Rfam family: mir-2807 microRNA precursor family
Source: Rfam by way of RNAcentral